RNAcentral lists this ribosomal RNA (858 nucleotides) under uncultured bacterium. RNAcentral describes it as "bacterial SSU rRNA". It matches the Rfam family "Bacterial small subunit ribosomal RNA", at positions 60 to 914 of the family's 1533-position model. The record is from RNAcentral.
AGUCGAACGGCAGCGCGGGGCAACCUGGCGGCGAGUGGCGAACGGGUGAGUAAUAUAUCGGAACGUACCCUGGAGUGGGGGAUAACGUAGCGAAAGUUACGCUAAUACCGCAUACGAUCUAAGGAUGAAAGUGGGGGAUUCGCAAGAACCUCAUGCUCCUGGAGCGGCCGAUGUCUGAUUAGCUAGUUGGUGGGGUAAAGGCUCACCAAGGCUUCGAUCAGUAGCUGGUCUGAGAGGACGACCAGCCACACUGGAACUGAGACACGGUCCAGACUCCUACGGGAGGCAGCAGUGGGGAAUUUUGGACAAUGGGCGCAAGCCUGAUCCAGCAAUGCCGCGUGAGUGAAGAAGGCCUUCGGGUUGUAAAGCUCUUUUGUCAGGGAAGAAACGGUGAAGGCUAAUAUCCUUUGCUAAUGACGGUACCUGAAGAAUAAGCACCGGCUAACUACGUGCCAGCAGCCGCGGUAAUACGUAGGGUGCAAGCGUUAAUCGGAAUUACUGGGCGUAAAGCGUGCGCAGGCGGUUUUGUAAGUUUGUCGUGAAAGCCCCGGGCUCAACCUGGGAAUUGCGAUGAAGACUGCAAGGCUUGAAUCUGGCAGAGGGGGGUAGAAUUCCACGUGUAGCAGUGAAAUGCGUAGAGAUGUGGAGGAACACCGAUGGCGAAGGCAGCCCCCUGGGUCAAGAUUGACGCUCAUGCACGAAAGCGUGGGGAGCAAACAGGAUUAGAUACCCUGGUAGUCCACGCCCUAAACGAUGUCUACUAUUUGUCGGGUUUUAAUUAACUUGGUAACGCAGCUAACGCGUGAAGUAGACCGCCUGGGGAGUACGGUCGCAAGAUUAAAACUCAAAGGAAUUGAC